CGUAGUGCAAGCGCCUGCAGCUUCCUAAGAAGGUGAAUGGAGAGUGCUCGUGAGUCUUGUCCCAGGCGUUUGUUGCCACCAAUAGAAAUUCCUCCGUUUCCCAGCCAGCUGAUUCCAGCUGUGUUGUCCGAAUUGAGCAAACCUGAUUCUUCCCUACAGGAAUUAUUUGUAGAGUGUAAAUAUGCUAAUGUUAAGUAAGACAGCAGGAGCUAUUCCCAGACCACCAAGGAGUAACGUUCGUGGAUUUUUAAGAAGAUUUAAUGUUCAACCUAGAGCACUUUUUCAUCAUAAACUGGUGCUGGGAAUUGAAACCAGCUGUGAUGACACAGCAGCUGCUGUGGUGGAUGAAACUGGAAAUGUGCUGGGAGAAGCACUGCACUCCCAGACGGAAGUCCAUCUGAAAACAGGUGGGAUUGUUCCUCCAGUGGCUCAACAGCUUCACAGAGAAAACAUUCAGCGAAUAGUAGAGGAAGCUCUUUCUGCCAGUGGGGUCUCCCCAAGCGACCUCUCAGCAAUUGCAACUACCAUCAAACCAGGACUGGCCCUAAGCCUGGGGGUUGGCUUAUCCUUUAGCGUACAGCUAGUAAAUCAGUUUAAAAAGCCAUUCAUCCCAAUCCAUCACAUGGAGGCUCACGCACUGACUAUUAGGCUGACCCACAAAGUAGAAUUUCCUUUUUUAGUUCUUUUGAUUUCUGGAGGCCACUGCCUGUUGGCGUUAGUUCAGAGUGUUUCAGAUUUUCUGCUCCUCGGGAAGUCUCUGGACAUAGCGCCAGGCGACAUGCUUGACAAGGUGGCAAGAAGACUUUCUUUAAUCAAACAUCCAGAAUGUUCUACAAUGAGUGGUGGGAAAGCUAUAGAACAUUUGGCCAAAGAAGGAAAUAGAUUCCACUUUACUAUCAAUCCACCCAUGCAGAAUGCUAAGAACUGUGAUUUUUCUUUUACGGGACUUCAACAUGUCAUUGAUAAGCUAAUAACACACAAGGAAAAAGAAGAAGGCAUUGAGAAGGGGCAAAUCCUGUCAUCAGCCGCAGACAUUGCUGCUGCGGUACAGCAUGCAACAGCGUGCCACCUUGCGAAAAGAACACAUCGUGCUAUUCUGUUUUGCCAGCAGAAAAAUUUGCUAUCUCCAGCUAACGCAGUAUUAGUUGUGUCUGGAGGUGUUGCAAGUAACUUGUACAUCCGAAGAGCAUUGGAAAUUGUAGCAAAUGCAACACAAUGCACUUUGUUGUGUCCCCCUCCGAGACUGUGCACUGACAAUGGUAUCAUGAUUGCAUGGAAUGGAAUUGAAAGAUUACGUGCUGGCUUGGGCAUUUUACAUGAUGUAGAAGACAUCCGAUACGAACCAAAAUGUCCUCUUGGAAUAGACAUAUCCAGAGAAGUUGCAGAAGCUGCCAUAAAAGUACCACGAUUAAAAAUGACACUUUGAUUUGUGAUUGUAAAGGUCUCUACAGAUUGCUGUUGGAAGACAGGGUGAGAGUGAAGAAAUAACAAGUAAAAGCAACAACCAGUUCCUGAACUCACGUCUUACAUUUGGAUUUGCAUUUUGCAUGUAAUUAUGAAUUAACUACUUGUAGUUUCCUAAGGAUACUACUAUCAGUACACAUAAACUAUGGAAGAAAAUUUACCAAAAUAUUUACUAUGAAUACAUUCAUUUGGGACAGCCUCACUCUAGCUCAGGCAAUACCUGAUGUGCGGUUAAAUUCCAUAUGAAACUCUGGGAAGAAAAUCUAUUCAGUAUUAAUAUAAAUAACUUCCAUUCAAACAACAACACAAAUUUCAUCCCCUGAAGAUGCUGUGUAUUUUUACCGCAAUAAAUAUCUGCUUUGAGAAAGACCA
Molecule: RNA transcript, 1836 nt
Organism: Rattus rattus (black rat)
Lineage: Eukaryota; Metazoa; Chordata; Mammalia; Rodentia; Muridae
Gene: Osgepl1
Gene name: O-sialoglycoprotein endopeptidase like 1
Exons: 9
Source: RefSeq, a predicted model, not a curated record